Molecule: ribosomal RNA, 437 nt
Filed under: uncultured bacterium
Lineage: Bacteria
Description: partial 16S ribosomal RNA
Rfam family: Bacterial small subunit ribosomal RNA
Source: RNAcentral
GAUGAACGCUGGCGGCAUGCUUAGCACAUGCAAGUCGGACGGGAAGUGGUGUUUCCAGUCGCGGACGGGUGAGUAACGCGUAAGAACCUGCCCUUGGGAGGGGAACAACAACUGGAAACGGUUGCUAAUACCCCGUAGGCUGAGGAGCAAAAGGAGGAAUCCGCCCGAGGAGGGGCUUGCGUCUGAUUAGCUAGUUGGUGAGGUAAUAGCUUACCAAGGCGAUGAUCAGUAGCUGGUCCGAGAGGAUGAUCAGCCACACUGGGACUGAGACACGGCCCAGACUCCUACGGGAGGCAGCAGUGGGGAAUUUUCCGCAAUGGGCGACAGCCUGACGGAGCAAUGCCGCGGGGAGGUAGAAGGCCCACGGGUCGUGAACUUCUUUUCUCGGAGAAGAAACAAUGACGGUAUCUGAGGAAUAAGCAUCGGCUAACUCUGUG